AUUUUACCUUUGCUUCUUCGCCCCCACUCAAAGGAAAUCCUGGCUCCGUCCCUGAAUGGAGAUAAGAACUAUUUAGACCGCACAUGAUUAGACGAAAAAUUCCAUUGGUGAAUGGUUGCUGAUCUGCUAUUGGAAAUUUUCUGUGUACUCCGUGUGAAUUCUAUAUAUUUUUUAAUACUCCGCAUGAAUGAUUCAAGUGGUUUGGGGGCUAUAGAGUUCAUAUGGAGUAUAGAAGCAUGUGUAUGAAUUCUGAAUUCUGUUGGCUUACAUUAAGUCUUGGAAGUGUUUGGUAUUUUUGCAACUUUAUUAACUCUUGCAAGUGUUUUGUCUUUUGAAUUCUGAAUUCUGAAUUCUGUUGCUUCUGUACUCCCUAUGAAUUCUAUAGGGCUCCAAACCACUGGUUCUUUGUCAAAAUCUACAACUUUGGGCAUAUUUGAUAUCAUUCUUAAUAAGCUAAAUGGACUAGUUUUGAUAAAAUAAAAUUAAAAUUUUAAAUUUUUAACCCAGCCCGCUAGUCGCUAGACCCACCACUCCCACCAGCAUGCAUGUGCUGGUUAAGGUUAGAGAAAUUUAGCCUGCGGGUCGGCCAUCAAAUAUCUCAGCCAGCAGUGGGGUGGGCCUGCCCGCAUCGAUACCCUAGUAUCAAACUUCUGCUAAUACACAUGUAUUGAUCUUUUUUUUUUUUUGGGGUCAAAGUUGCCUAUAUUGUACUGUUUCUCAAUCUGUGGAGUGUCUCAAUUUCUGUAAUUGAUUUUAUCUUUGGUCAUUCAAUAGCUGAAGUAGUUAUUUAGUGCCGGCGGAAAUUGUUUAUGGAGAUUUUAAAUCCUAGGACUGCUUUAGGUGUAACUGAAUAAGGAAGCCGAGAAAAUCCUGGAGAUUUCAGUGUUUUUUCAUUUUGCUAGUAUAUUAGGCACAUGCUUAUUAAUUAUCCAAUCAUCCCUGUUGGAAUGCAACUAUGCAAGUAUGCAACUCAUCCAAUAAAUUGUAAUCCAUUCUCAGAGAUAUGAAACUUAAUUUCUCAAUACUUGGACAAAUGGGUUUAAUUGUUUCUGUUCUAUUCUGCAAUUUCUACUGCCUUUGAAGUUGUUUGCAAUCCUAUCGAUCCAUUUUCUGUUUUUUUUUUUUUGUGCAAAUCAUGUCAUCAUGAUAUUAUCAUUAUAUCAUGAUGAAUUUUAUUUUAGUAGAUACUAUCCUGUUCCAUCGCUAAUUUGAAAGGUAUAACUUUUACAGCAAAGGGUAUGCGUUUUGCUGGUCUUCAUUUUACAUGUUUUUCGAUUUGCAAGCGCUGUAAAAAUCUUAAGGAGUUGGUUGCUUCUUCACUCACAUGCCACAGUAAAAGACAAUUAAGACAUAGCAGCUAUGCUACUAGUCCUUUGGAAUACUAUCAUCCAAUUCUUCAAUCAAAUGGUUUACAGAAUCGGUUCAAGAAUUGGCAACAUUUGAGAAAGGGUAAACUGAUGGCAAGUACUUUCAGUCAGGCUAUUGGUUUUUGGCCCCGCCGAAGGGUUCAACUUUGGUUAGAGAAGAUUGGGGCAAUUGAACCAUUUGCUGGAAACUUAGCCACCUGUUGGAGCAACAUCAAGGAAGAGGAAGCUCUUGAGAGAUAUAUGCUUAUUACUGGAAAUCCUGUCUCCUUGCAUGGUUUUCAGGUCCAUCACAAUAUGUACCCAGAAGAUGGCUGGCUUGCAGCUUCCCCUGAUGGAGUAAUCGAUACCUAUGUUCAUGGUUUGCCUUCCCGAGGUGUUUUAGAAAUCAAAUGCCCAUUCUUUGGAGGUGAUAUGACCAAGGCUUGGCCUUGUAGUAGAAUUCCCAUUAAUUACAUUCCUCAGGCACAAGGUUUGAUGGAGAUCUUAGAUCGAGAUUGGAUGGACUUGUAUAUCUGGACUACCAAAGGAAGUAGUUUGUUUAGGUUGAAUCGAGAUAAAGAAUAUUGGCAAGCCUUGGAGAUUGCACUUUCUGACUUCUGGUGGAAGCAUGUGCAACCUGGUAAGGAAUUGUUCAAUUGUUCAGAGAUCACAAAUCCCCUUGUUGAACUAAGAUCACUUAUGCCAGAACCUAGACACGAAUUAUGUAGUUACCUUGUCCAUGAAAGCUUCCGUAUUGUGGUCAAUGACUCUAAGUUGGUGGUGCGUGAAAUUAAUGGUAAACUGCAAAUGUGAUGCUCCAAAGGUGGACAGUCAAAUUCAUUGAACUGGAUAAUUAGAUUCCAAGUCAUGGUAGUCAUUGAUCUGUGCACACUCUUACUAGAGGAGAGGCAGAUUUUAUCAUCUGGGCAAAUCUGAAAUGCUAACUGCACUCUUAGAAUCCUUUAGAUGAAAUGCAUGAGGAUGGGGAACUUGUUACAUGCAGGCAUGAUGUGAAUGUUGUUACAAGCAUUUAUGGUGUACUCCACAAAUUUUCCAUA
Molecule: RNA transcript, 2404 nt
Organism: Ipomoea nil (Japanese morning glory)
Lineage: Eukaryota; Viridiplantae; Streptophyta; Magnoliopsida; Solanales; Convolvulaceae
Exons: 2
Source: RefSeq, a predicted model, not a curated record